RNAcentral lists this ribosomal RNA (104 nucleotides) under uncultured bacterium. RNAcentral's name for it is "partial 16S ribosomal RNA". It matches the Rfam family "Bacterial small subunit ribosomal RNA", at positions 301 to 404 of the family's 1533-position model. The record is from RNAcentral.
UGAUCGGCCACAUUGGGACUGAGACACGGCCCAAACUCCUACGGGAGGCAGCAGUAGGRAAUCUUCCACAAUGGACGCAAGUCUGAUGGASCAACGCCGCGUGA